RNAcentral lists this ribosomal RNA (373 nucleotides) under uncultured organism. RNAcentral describes it as "partial 16S ribosomal RNA". It matches the Rfam family "Bacterial small subunit ribosomal RNA", at positions 527 to 896 of the family's 1533-position model. The record is from RNAcentral.
GUAGGUGGCAAGCGUUGUCCGGAAUUAUUGGGCGUAAAGCGCGCGCAGGCGGUUCUUUAAGUCUGAUGUGAAAGCCCACGGCUCAACCGUGGAGGGUCAUUGGAAACUGGAGAACUUGAGUACAGAAGAGGAAAGCGGAAUUCCACGUGUAGCGGUGAAAUGCGUAGAGAUGUGGAGGAACACCAGUGGCGAAGGCGGCUUUCUGGUCUGUAACUGACGCUGAGGCGCGAAAGCGGGGGGAGCAAACAGGGAUUAGAUACCCUGGUAGUCCACGCCGUAAACGAUGAGUGCUAAGUGUUAGGGGGGUUUCCGCCCCCUUAGUGCUGCAGCUAACGCAUUAAGCACUCCGCCUGGGGAUACGGCCGCAAGGCUG